CAGCAGUAGGGAAUCUUCCACAAUGGGCGAAAGCCUGAUGGAGCAACGCCGCGUGCAGGAUGAAUGCCUUCGGGUUGUAAACUGCUUUUAUAUGUGAAGAUUAUGACGGUAGCAUAUGAAUAAGGAUCGGCUAACUCCGUGCCAGCAGCCGCGGUCAUACGGAGGAUCCAAGCGUUAUCCGGAAUUACUGGGCGUAAAGAGUUGCGUAGGUGGCAUAGUAAGCGGACAGUGAAAUGGUACGGCUCAACCGUACAGCCAUUGUUUGAACUGCUAAGCUUGAGGACGAGAGAGGUACCUGGAAUUCCCAGUGUAGGAGUGAAAUCCGUAGAUAUUGGGAGGAACACCGAUGGCGUAGGCAGGGUACUGGCUUGUUCCUGACACUAAGGCACGAAAGCGCGAGGAGUGACCCGGAUUAGAUACCCGGUUAAUUCGCGCCGUAAACGAUGGAUGCUAGCCGUUAUCGGUAUCGACCCCGGUAGUAGCAAAGCUAACGCGUUAAGCAUCCCGCCUGUGGAGUACG
This 520-nucleotide ribosomal RNA is filed under the name uncultured Candidatus Saccharibacteria bacterium. RNAcentral's name for it is "bacterial SSU rRNA". It matches the Rfam family "Bacterial small subunit ribosomal RNA", at positions 349 to 884 of the family's 1533-position model. The record is from RNAcentral. Lineage: Bacteria; Candidatus Saccharimonadota.